Molecule: ribosomal RNA, 255 nt
Filed under: uncultured prokaryote
Description: partial 16S ribosomal RNA
Rfam family: Bacterial small subunit ribosomal RNA
Source: RNAcentral
UAAUACAGAGGGUGCGAGCGUUAAUCGGAAUUACUGGGCGUAAAGCGUGCGUAGACGGUUAUUUAAGUCGGGUGUGAAAGCCCCGGGCUCAACCUGGGAAUUGCAUUCGAGACUGAAUAGCUAGGGUACGGUAGAGGGAAGUGGAAUUUCCGGUGUAGCGGUGAAAUGCGUAGAUAUCGGAAGGAACAUCAGUGGCGAAAGCGACUUCCUGGACCAGUACCGACGUUCAGGCACGAAAGCGUGGGGAGCAAACAG